AUGUCCUGGGCUCUUUUCCUUAGUCUCUUGGUAGUGUGGGGCGAAGGAGCAACUUCGCAAAGUCUGGUGUCUCAACCUCCGUCAGCCUCAGUGUCCCCAGGAAACACGGUGAAACUCACCUGCACCUUGGGAAGCAGUGUCAACAUCGGCAGCCACAGGAUGUACUGGUACCAGCAGAAGCCUCCGAGCUCUCCGCGUUUUCUCUUGCACUACCACACGGAUUCUGACACGGGGCACGGUUCUGGAGUCCCUUCUAGAUUCUCUGGUUCUAAAGAAACCUCCACCAAUACUGCUUACGUAACCGUUUCUGGAGUUCUGGCCGAAGACGAGGCUGAUUAUUACUGUGCUAUCUGGCACAGCAGCUGUGUGUUUGUCUUCGGUGGUGGAACCCAGCUAACAAUCACAGGCCAGCCCACCGUAUCUCCUACGGUGCAAGUCUUUGGUUCUUCUGAGCAAGAGAUCAAAAGCCAGAACAAAGCCACCGUGGUGUGUCUCCUAAACGACUUUUACCCGCCUGGCUUCAACCUGAAAUGGAAGGUUGAUGGUACCGAGACCGAAUCUGGAGUGGAGACAACCAAAGCCACCAAGCAGGGAGACAAAUACCUUGCCAGCAGUUACCUGACCAGGAGUGCUUCUGACUAUGGAGGUCAUACUUACGUAUGUGAAGUGACACAUGAUGGGAAGUCCUUUACGAAGACUUUUUCAGGAUCUGGAAGUUGUUAACUCCAACCUUUAUCCUGUCCGGCCAUUCAGGCGGGAGAAAAAGAGUACCUUCUCCUGGAAUCUCAUUCCUUCUUUCCUAAAUUGAGCUUUAUCACUAAUGUCUCUUUCUAUUCCAAGUAGUUACAUCCUUGUAUUCCCCCCAUGCUUUUGCCCUUCCAAUGGAUUCCCCCCACCCCCACUUUGAUCUGUUAGAUUCUACGGUCAGCACAUUAAUAAAGA
This is a non-coding RNA of Thamnophis elegans (Western terrestrial garter snake), 942 nucleotides long. NCBI's taxonomy places the organism in Eukaryota, Metazoa, Chordata, Lepidosauria, Squamata, Natricidae. The record is from the annotation of a RefSeq genome assembly.